AUUGAACGCUGGCGGCAGGCCUAACACAUGCAAGUCGAGCGGUAGAGAGAAGCUUGCUUCUCUUGAGAGCGGCGGACGGGUGAGUAAUGCCUAGGAAUCUGCCUGGUAGUGGGGGAUAACGUUCGGAAACGGACGCUAAUACCGCAUACGUCCUACGGGAGAAAGCAGGGGACCUUCGGGCCUUGCGCUAUCAGAUGAGCCUAGGUCGGAUUAGCUAGUUGGUGGGGUAAUGGCUCACCAAGGCGACGAUCCGUAACUGGUCUGAGAGGAUGAUCAGUCACACUGGAACUGAGACACGGUCCAGACUCCUACGGGAGGCAGCAGUGGGGAAUAUUGGACAAUGGGCGAAAGCCUGAUCCAGCCAUGCCGCGUGUGUGAAGAAGGUCUGCGGAUUGUAAAGCACUUUAAGUUGGGAGGAAGGGCAGUAAAUUAAUACUUUGCUGUUUUGACGUUACCGACAGAAUAAGCACCGGCUAACUCUGU
This 483-nucleotide ribosomal RNA is filed under the name uncultured bacterium. RNAcentral's name for it is "partial 16S ribosomal RNA". It matches the Rfam family "Bacterial small subunit ribosomal RNA", at positions 30 to 506 of the family's 1533-position model. The record is from RNAcentral.